GACGAACGCUGGCGGCGUGCCUAAUACAUGCAAGUCGAACGAACCGCGACUAAGUGCUUGCACUCAGUCAAGGUGAGUGGCGAACGGGUGAGUAACACGUGGGUAACCUACCUCAUAGUGGGGGAUAACAGUCGGAAACGACUGCUAAUACCGCAUAGGACAUAGGAUCACAUGAUCCAGUGAGGAAAGGUGGCGCAAGCUAUCGCUAAGAGAUGACCCGCGGGGCAUUAGCUAGUUGGUAGGGUAAAGGCCUACCAAGGCGAUGAUGCAUAGCCGACCUGAGAGGGUGAUCGGCCACAUUGGGACUGAGACACGGCCCAAACUCCUACGGGAGGCAGCAGUAGGGAAUCUUCCGCAAUGGACGCAAGUCUGACGGAGCAACGCCGCGUGAGUGAAGAAGGUCUUCGGAUCGUAAAGCUCUGUUGUUAGAGAAGAACAGCGCAUAGAGUAACUGCUAUGCGUGUGACGGUAUCUAACCAGAAAGCCACGGCUAACUACGUG
Molecule: ribosomal RNA, 501 nt
Filed under: uncultured bacterium
Lineage: Bacteria
Description: partial 16S ribosomal RNA
Rfam family: Bacterial small subunit ribosomal RNA
Source: RNAcentral